GGACUACCAGGGUAUCUAAUCCCGUUCGCUCCCCUGGCUUUCGCGUCUCAGCGUCAGUAGGCGUCCAGGACCUCGCUUUCGCCACGGGCGUUCCUUCCGAUCUCAACGCAUUUCACCGCUCCACCGGAAGUUCCAGGUCCCCCUACGCCCCUCCAGGCAGGCCGUAUCCGCGCCCGUUCCCCGGUUGAGCCGGGGGAUUUCAGCGACGGACGUACCUUCCCGCCUACACGCGCUUUAAGCCCAGUGAUUCCGAAUAACGUUCGCACGGUUCGUCUUACCGCGGCUGCUGGCAC
RNAcentral lists this ribosomal RNA (293 nucleotides) under uncultured Planctomycetota bacterium. RNAcentral's name for it is "uncultured planctomycete partial 16S ribosomal RNA". The record is from RNAcentral. Lineage: Bacteria; Pseudomonadati; Planctomycetota.